AUACGGAGGGUGCAAGCGUUAUUCGGAAUCACUGGGCGUAAAGGACGCGUAGGCGGGUUGGCAAGUCAGAUGUGAAAUCCUACAGCUUAACUGUAGAACUGCAUUCGAAACUGCUAACCUAGAGUAUGGGAGGGGGAGAUGGAAUUAGUGGUGUAGGGGUAAAAUCCGUAGAUAUCACUAGGAAUACCGAAAGCGGAGGCGAUCUCCUGGGACAUAACUGACGCUAAGGCGUGAAAGCGUGGGGAGCAAACAGGAUUAGAAACCCCAGUAGUCC
Molecule: ribosomal RNA, 274 nt
Filed under: uncultured bacterium
Lineage: Bacteria
Description: partial 16S ribosomal RNA
Rfam family: Bacterial small subunit ribosomal RNA
Source: RNAcentral